RNAcentral lists this ribosomal RNA (490 nucleotides) under uncultured bacterium. RNAcentral's name for it is "partial 16S ribosomal RNA". It matches the Rfam family "Bacterial small subunit ribosomal RNA", at positions 30 to 507 of the family's 1533-position model. The record is from RNAcentral.
AUUGAACGCUGGCGGCAUGCUUUACACAUGCAAGUCGGACGGCAGCACAGAGAAGCUUGCUUCUUGGGUGGCGAGUGGCGAACGGGUGAGUAAUAUAUCGGAACGUACCGAGUAAUGGGGGAUAACUAAUCGAAAGAUUAGCUAAUACCGCAUAUUCUCUGAGGAGGAAAGCAGGGGACCUUCGGGCCUUGCGUUAUUCGAGCGGCCGCUAUCUGAUUAGCUAGUUGGUGGGGUAAAGGCCUACCAAGGCGACGAUCAGUAGCGGGUCUGAGAGGAUGAUCCGCCACCCUGGGACUGAGAAACGGCCCAGACUCCUACGGGAGGCAGCAGUGGGGAAUUUUGGACAAUGGGCGCAAGCCUGAUCCAGCCAUGCCGCGUGUCUGAAGAAGGCCUUCGGGUUGUAAAGGACUUUUGUCAGGGAAGAAAAGGCUGUUGCUAAUAUCGACAGCUGAUGACGGUACCUGAAGAAUAAGCACCGGCUAACUACGUG